UUUAAAUGAUGAAAAACUUAAUUUUCAGUUCUGCUUCUGAACCAAAAAUUCUAUGAAGAUAACCUUUUACCAAAGCUCAAUAUCUGAAGU
This 90-nucleotide small nucleolar RNA is filed under the name Spathaspora passalidarum NRRL Y-27907. Lineage: Eukaryota; Fungi; Ascomycota; Pichiomycetes; Serinales; Debaryomycetaceae. The record is from RNAcentral.